ACUUUGAACCGAACAGGGCCAA
This 22-nucleotide non-coding RNA is filed under the name Arabidopsis thaliana (thale cress). Lineage: Eukaryota; Viridiplantae; Streptophyta; Magnoliopsida; Brassicales; Brassicaceae. The record is from RNAcentral.